GCGGGCUCUCCCGCUGUCACCGCAGCAGCAGAGCUGCCGCGGCCGAUGUUUUCUCUGUAAGCAAAGCAAAGGGCGUGGAUCGAGGGCUGGAAAAGCACCAUCAAAGCGGCUCCUUCGUACGUCUGAGCGCCGAUCCGGUCACAGUUAAUCGGCGAACGUCCCGACGGCUCUCUGAACAAAACGCCCUUCAGGUGAGUUUCCAGCUCCGACGCCCUACAUUCGGUUUUUAUGAAGUUUCUCGAGGAAACCCACGCCAGGCUCUGCCCUCCGUCAGCUCCCGGCCGCAAACAGCCCCGCGGGCGGACAGACGGACGGCCUUUGGCACCGGGGAAUCGCCAGAACCGGAGCUCCGCCGUGCGAUGACCGCCUCCCGUGACAUCGAUGGCGUUCGUUAGGGGGCGGAUUUCGUGUCCCGAGACGUGUGUGAGUAAGCGCUCAGCUCCGCGCUGAUGGAAACACGCGCUCACAGCCCGGUACGGUUUCACCGGUUUACAAACGCCGUCCAUUAAAACACGAUUAUGUACCAAACGGGUUCUUUCUAUGCGAGAUCCUCAAAUCCGUUGUUUACAUUGCACCUAUAUUAACAAACCACAAAAUAAGCCCGUAGCGUUUUUAAGAGAGGUUUUAGGCUGGGAACGUGGAAACUUGCCUAGACGAAAUGACACGGAAGCUGAAUGAACACGAGGAGAUUAUCUGUGUCUGAAGGUUGGGCAUUAGCCGCAAUGAAAAGAUUUAUUUUUCCGACGCUUUUUUUUUUCCCCCCAGCUGGUUAUUUCCAGGGCUGCUGGCAGUGUAAGCUCACUCUCUGAGCAGAUACUGAAGCCCGUGUGUUCUAUGUAAGGGUGCUAUUCAAGGAGGAGGCUCUCAGUGCCACAGAGUGCCUGCUGGGUUCAGGUGCACAUGUUCUUACAGCAUUACUCAUACUCGAAAAAUACUUGCUAUUCAUACUCAGAAGUUACUCGAGCAUGACUUGCAGUGGAAAAUUGUGCAAAAAUAAUAUUUCUUUGUGAUACCUGAUAGCCUGGGAACUUGCCUGUGCAAAGUCCCUCUCCGUCAGAGAUGUACCACGAGGAUGAAGAAAAUAGAGCCGUGAGGAGAAGAGGCGGAUGUUCAGUGGUUGUUCACACACUGAAAGCUUUGUGUCACAGCAGCUCCGACGCUUUUCUGAAGAGACAAUUCUGCAAUCGUUAGAGCUGCCAACCCAAACCCUGCCGUGGCUAUUCUUCUAUGGCUUACAGCAACCUCCAAACUCGCACCGUGUGUAGUGUGACUGUUGUGUCAGCAGGAGCAAUGUGAAGACUGAACCCCGGGAUCCACAGUUCAGGAGGAGUUCUCGUGAAAACAGGCUGUGUGGGAGAAGCAUGAGUUGGAGUGGGGAAGGAGGAAUGUAUCAGGCUUAACACACAGCAUAUGCUCUCCUUGCAGAAUGGAUUGGGUGACGCCGGGAAGAGGAAGAAAUCAGGAUAAAUCAGAGAGUUGUGCGUGGAAGCAGUGAAAGAAAGCUGAUAGUAUUCUGGAGAGAUAUGAGGAGCAGAACUCAGGAAAGAGUGUUGGAUUUCAAAGGAACACAGGUUGUUAGGAGCUGGCAAGCUUGGUCAUGGCAAGCUGUAUUGGUACUGCUGGAUGAUGUGCUCUGGAGACAGCAUGCAGCAUUGGUCAGCCACCUCUCAGCAUCCUCAAUGCAGGGACUUUCUGUUUAGUUUUGCUGUUCUUUUAAUCCCAAUGGACCAGGAAAUAUCUGAAUGACAACAGUUUCACAGGUUUCUAUGAAGGUCUUACAUCUGUUUUCCUGACCCUUAAAAUAAGACUUGUGCUUAUUUUUCUGCUCUGGGGUUCUGAUACUCCCCUCUGCUUUCACUGUUUUUACAGCACAAAGGUAGCCCGAGGAAUCUGGAAGGUGAUGGACUCAGUGCAUACUGCAUGCUCCCACUGAGCCUAUGGACAGCCAGAAAUUCUCACAAAUGGCCAGAAAAGCUGUAGAUGAAGUGGAAGAGUGAUGGUCUGCUGCCAAGAGCAUUGGAGAGGGUGUUUGUGGCAUUCAUGUGGUCAGAAAGUCAACUGUCUCCUCCCCAGAUUCACAAAUUCCUAUUCGCAGAAAGGGUCAUGUUUUCUGUUUUCCAGGCAUUUAAACACAUAGAAGGCAUUUUCUUGUUUCCUUGCUUUCCAGAAUUCUGGAAGCAGGGUUUUUAUAUAUACAACCAUUUUUAAACUUGCUGCACUUUCCUUCUACCCCUUGAUCUUUACUGUUUCAGUGGAUCCCUUUUCAUUCUAUUGUAUGGUGUAUUUUUAGGUUUAGAAACUGUGCUUAAUUCUUAUUUCAGAAGAUGGCUCUUCUCAGAAGGCAAUGAUGAGAUCCUUGUGGUUUGCUGUGAGCCUUGUAGCCUCUAGUGUAAACCUAUUGGAUCUCAUUUAACAGAGAAGCAGAGAAAGUACCACACGUUCAAGUGCUGCUCAGAAACACCUAUCAGGGAGAAAAAAGCCUCUGUAAGCAAAAGUAUUGUGUGACCUUUCAUUAUUAAAACAGUCACAGUGUAUUUGAGGGUUUAUUUAUACUAUGUUAAUUCUUAGGAGUUCCACUCAUUGACCAGCAUCACUCUUUUGCUUGUUGCAGUGUCAGGUGGGCACUGUCAUCCUGCCAUGUUCUCUUUUGUGUGUGUUGCAAUCUUUAUUUUUUACGAAGGGAUUUAUAAAAGCAACUGACAUCCUGACAGUGCUAGGAAGUUCUAAAAUACUGUAGUUAAUAGAAGGUAACCAUAUUGUUCAUUGGGUCUGGAAAAAAGAAAUUAGGAAAAUGUUUUUUUUAACAAAUGUUUUGGACUGUGUACAGUCCAUCCAAGUAUCUUCUAUUAGAUGAGAUGACCUCCAGUGAAGAUCUUACUCCUUUAUGAAUUUGGAAUAGUUAUGUUUGGAUUGGAUAAGAGAAGAAUACCUUUCUAUCAAAGAGCCCAUAAUUGGUGGUACGCGAAAGUGGGCCAAAGACUUUGGCAUGAAUCUGUGUUUUCUGCCCUCUUAAUAAAAUGCUCUGCUUUCUCAGGCUUGGUUAUAUACACUCUGUACAAAUUCUCUUCUUUGACCUUAGGUUUACACAUCUCACAUUUUCCAGGUGCGUUUCCCUGAUGAUAUUUUUAUUGGUGUAUUUAUGGUAAACGUGUCCUUGAGUGUCCCACGAAGUCUGUCAGAUCCACAUUCUGUUACUGCAUUCAGUGCAGACGAAAGCUUUGAAGAAAGGGUAAUUUUCAGUGCUGAAGGUAUUAGAACUGCCACAGCUGGGAGAUGCAUAUGGGAGCACUUGCUUAUCCCACAGCAAACCUGUAAGUUUAAUCCUGAAUCCAUAUAUGAAUUGUUUUGAUAAAGAAGCUUAGGUAGUGGGUAGAGGAUAGGAAAUAAUGGUUGUUCCAGAAUGGUGUGGAUGUAGGUCCUGUCCUGUUUGUUCCAAAUCAGAAGUGUUUUCCUUGCAUUGCCAAUCUCUGUCUACAUGACUGAGUCUUAUUUGUUCUACUCAGAUUCCUCUAGUUCCUGUGCAGCUGUACCUGUAAAAGCUGACAUUAGCUGAUGAGGCACUUCUAGUUCAAAUAUUAGAAGAUUAAUAAUGAGAUAAUUCAGUUAUCACAUUUAUUUAUUUGUUUAUACUCUUCUCUUGCUCACUUCAAUCUUUAUUUAUAUCAGUGCGUGCUGAAGGUUUCAGCAUCUCUACCCUCACUACUUUUCUGCCAAGGUAAUAUUUAUCUGCAGAGAAAGGUGACAGUAAGAAAGCAGGAUUUCCUAAGAAUCUGAGGACAGAUCUGAGUCUGUUUUGUGUGCUGCGUUUGAUGGUAGUCAGUCAUGUGCCCAGUGAUAGGUACAAAAGAGGUAAGCAAAUUGUCUCUUUGCAGGCAUUUGUUGCUCAGGGGUUUUCUGAAGUGAAAGUGGCAAUUAGCCUGUAGUCAUUUGUUGCAUUUAUUUGUUGUUUCUAACCAAGUAGGCUUUGGUAUAUGCCACGUUGUCUGGAGACAUGUUUUUUUAUCUGUGCAACAUGUAAAGAAUGACUUCUUGUUUGCUUUUUUAACUUGCCACUCACUAAUUUCAUUUGAAGUAUUUUGGAUCAUGUUCUGACAAAGACAAUAUCCUCUUUUUCUCCGUGCAACUUUUUGUUCUGUGGGACUGUGCCAACUUUUCCUCCAGCAUCUCUCUGCUCUCCCCACAUCUCAGUCAUACCACGGAGUUCAUACUGAUUUUUGACACUAUAUUUGGUCUGUGUGAUGUGAUAAUCCUAGUUUAUAACUAAAGAGUAUCUACCAAUGAUCUUGUACAGUGUUUCUAAAGUAACAAAAAAUCACUAGCAUGGAAUGUUCUGGUCUGUGUAUCUCCAUAUAUGAUGGAGAGCUUUUUCAGAGUUCAGCCUGUAAAUUCAUAUCAGUCUGUGAUAUCCUAAAUCCCCAGUAACAGUGUCCUUGGAGUGAAACUCAGUCCUUGUGUCAGAAUAAUCCCUCCUCGCGCAAUCAUGUUGCCCUCUGUUGGUUAGCUUUGAUUCAGAAAGUUCCCAGGCCUGCUAAUUACCAGAGGACUUAUUUAAAUUCCUGUGGAAGAGGCCUCAGUGUUUUACUCUGGUUCGUGUGCUGGCUGAGGGGUGCAUCCGUGCUUUCGGAGGAAAGGGUGGAAGCCUCUUCGUAGGUUGUGGUUGCAACAAUGUUCAUUUAUAAAGCUGGGUUUGAUUUCUCUUAAUGAAGCUCACAUUUUAAGAGCUGGAAUUCAUUGAUGUUCAAGAUCAGUUAUUGAAAAGUUUGUAUUGCAUUUUUUGAAGAAUUGGUCUGAAAGCAGCUAGAAUCAGAACUUCUUUUCCUGUGUGCUCAAUGUUUAUGUCCAUGCAGGUUCCCAGUGGAUUCACAAGGAUGCUUGGUAAAGUCAGAUGGCACAAAAAAGCCUACAGGAAGAAAAGAAGGGCAAAAAGAAUGCUCAUUGCAUAGGGAGAUAUGAAAAAGCUCUCCCUCUAAAUGCUGGAAAAUGGUUUUAUUACCAUUAUUGUUACCAGAUAAUCUGAUGAAUUAAAAGGUUGGUGAGUAAGGAAGAUGAAAAUUUUGGGGGAAGUAGGAUAUUUUUCUUGUUGACUGAUUAAUCUGGAACUGCUCUGAAUCCAAAUGGAUUUCUGGGAUCCUGUCAUCUUAUCAAAUAUAGUCUGACUGCAUCUAGGCAACGUGUUCAGGAUGUCAUAAGAUAUAACUGAAGACCAAAGGUUAAGGAGGAAGACCAUGACAGAGCUAGGAAUAGCUUUCUUCUUUAGAGGGGUGAACUGGAAUGCUGGUCAGCAUGCUGCAGUGACUUGCAAACAUGUUCAUCAAAGUCCUUGCACCCAAAUAGGCCAUGGAUGUGAGUAAUGCUUAUUUCUUUUUUGUUACAAAAUGCUUGAGAUGUGUGGCUGGGAAAUCAAGCAUGUCAGUGCAAACUACUGUUAUUGAUAGGAAUGAGUUUCAGAUGGCACAGCUGAAAAUGCGUCUUCUACUUUGCCUGGGAUCCACUACAGGUUAGACUCUAAGCAUAAAACUAAGAAACCUGUUUCAGUUGACACAGAUAUUGAUAUAAUACAAUCAGAUAUUGAUAAUAUGAUAUGAAAUAAUAUGAUUGGUUAGAGAUACUAUCUGAUGGUAGUAGGUAAUGCAGCUAAAUAUUACUAAAUAAUAGUAAUAAUGAUAAUAAAUCCACUUACAUAAUAGAAAAUAAAUAAGAAAAAAUCCUGAAAUAAUGAUUGCAAAAUCUUAACUUUUUUAUGCUUCCAGAAUGAAGACGAUGUAGUUUCUUGACACAAGGAUUUAUGAAACAACCCAUAAAGACCCACGGUACAGCAAUCUAAGGAGCAAACUAAAGAUGUUUUAUUGAGCAAUGUGCGUGUAUUUAUUUGCACUUGGAAAGAGCAGCUUUCUGUGUGAUUACAUGCAGUCUGAGAAUUUUACGUAUUGAUGUAUUUAUACAUCACCUGAGGUGUCUUUAUUCUCUUGGUAAAACUUGACUUGCCUGGUGUGAUGCUCUUUGGAGAUUCUUUCUGUACUAGAUGAGGCACUGAGCCUGUUGAAUCAAGCAUCCCUGCUGGCCUUGGUAAGCCACAAUACCACUGCAGAUAUGCAGAGAAGUCAAAGACUGGCUUCCUUUGUGUUAGAGUGAAGAAAGACAUCUGGUUCUUCUAUUACUUUUCAGAUGGCUCUUUACUUUUAUUAAUGCCUAAUACACAAAUAGCCAAAAAUUGAAGUUUAAUACAUUAAUGCAGAUGUUAAAACAAAAAUAGCUCCUGUUUUGCAUCCGAAGAUUUCAAUUUGGGGUCACUUGUGGGUGGAAGUGAAGCUACUUUUCAGUCACGUACCAUAGUGUAGGUUAAUGUGGUGUAGGUUAAUGUGGUGUAGGUUAAUGUGGACCUGAUACGUAAUUCCAAUGCCCUGCCUGUCUGGGAGCAGGCACACAAAGACCUGACUGUGUAAUGGAAACUUUGAUAACAUCAAUUACUGACAACUCUCAUUUGUUUGCAGUUUCAGGCCUUGUCUAGAGAUAUACUACUUUGCCUAAAUCUGUUAAGCUUAACCAAAACCAUGGAUGUGACUGUUAUUUGGCAGAUAAAAGAAGUGAAAGGAAGGAGAGAAGA
Non-coding RNA from Meleagris gallopavo (turkey), 6604 nucleotides. The record is from RefSeq and is a predicted model, not a curated record. NCBI's taxonomy places the organism in Eukaryota, Metazoa, Chordata, Aves, Galliformes, Phasianidae.